This 415-nucleotide ribosomal RNA is filed under the name uncultured prokaryote. Its description in RNAcentral is "bacterial SSU rRNA". It matches the Rfam family "Bacterial small subunit ribosomal RNA", at positions 505 to 918 of the family's 1533-position model. The record is from RNAcentral.
GUGUCAGCAGCCGCGGUAAUACGUAGGGUGCGAGCGUUAAUCGGAUUUACUGGGCGUAAAGCGUGCGCAGGCGGCCCGUUAAGACAGGUGUGAAAUCCCUGGGCUCAACCUAGGAAUUGCGCUUGUGACUGGCGGGCUCGAGUACGGUAGAGGGGGGUGGAAUUCCUGGUGUAGCAGUGAAAUGCGUAGAGAUCAGGAGGAACACCGAUGGCGAAGGCAGCCCCCUGGGCCUGUACUGACGCUCAUGGACGAAAGCGUGGGGAGCAAACAGGAUUAGAUACCCUGGUAGUCCACGCCCUAAACGAUGGGUACUAGCCGUUUGGUGCGCGAUAGCGCUGAGUGGCGAGGCUAACGCGUGAAGUACCCCGCCUGGGGAGUACGGCCGCAAGGUUGAAACUUAAAGGAAUUGACGGGG